Molecule: ribosomal RNA, 465 nt
Filed under: uncultured Microsporidia
Lineage: Eukaryota; Fungi; Microsporidia
Description: SSU rRNA
Rfam family: Microsporidia small subunit ribosomal RNA
Source: RNAcentral
CACCAGGUUGAUUCUGCCUGACGUGUACGCUAGUCUUGAAGAUUUAGCCAUGCAAGCUUGCGAAGCCGAGUGCGGAGCGGCAGACAGCUCAGUAAUACAGUUACUAUCUACUCGUGGUAGAGAUAUGGAUAACCAUGGUAAGCUAUGGCUAAUACAUGAACAAGUUACGCAACUGGUGAGACAGGUGUAACCGACAGGCAACGACCACGACUAAGUUUCUGGCCUAUUAGCUAUUUAAGUACGGUCUAGGCGUACUUAGGCGAUGAUGGGUAACGGGGGAUCAGGGUCUGAUACCGGAGAAGGAGCCUGAGAAACAGCUCCUACGUCUAAGGAUGGCAGCAGGCGCGAAACUUACCCAAUUCCCUCACGGGAGAGGUAGUCAAGAGACAUGAGAUUUAUCUACAGACCGGAUUGUAAAUGCAUCCGGGAUCGACUGGAGGGCAAGUCUGGUGCCAGCAGCCGCGG